RNAcentral lists this long non-coding RNA (1162 nucleotides) under Crocodylus porosus (Australian saltwater crocodile). RNAcentral describes it as "lncRNA (ENSCPRG00005001440.1)". Lineage: Eukaryota; Metazoa; Chordata; Crocodylia; Crocodylidae. The record is from RNAcentral.
GUUCAGAAGUUCGUUUUUCACGUGCCGAGGAAUUAGAUGUCAGACCCCAAAACAAACAGACUUGUCUGACUCCUUGGUUCUGAGUAAUUUCUGAACAAGACAAUGGCCCCAUGAUGAAGGCAGAGUUGAAUUUUGCAGCUAAGUAUUGAAUUCCCUUUUCAAGUUUUGCUUUUCUUUACCAAUGCACUGAAGGGACCAUGAGCAAACCUAUAACUAAAUGCAUUUAACAGAUUUAAGUGAACAGGAUAAGAAGUGGUGCCUGGAUGAGCAGCAACACUACAGCCAAGACCAGUCUCUUCUGGGGCAGUCACUUGGCUCAGUACCUCCUAGCACAGGAGAGUUGGAGCAUCUCAACGCAAAGACAUGUCAGCAAACACAGGACAAAGCUCCUUUUACUUUGCAUUUCAGUCCAGGUUUCAUAGCUGACUAGUUAUCUCAGUUUCUGGUGGAGAAGGAAAACUUCUGUCCCUACAAAGUCUGUGACUCAGCCGUGGUAGGAGAAACAUCUCUUAGUCUUCCAUUGAUCAGCUGCUGAAUCUACAAAGCUGUCUUCAAUUUUUAUAUUUACGUGUUAUCCUUGCUGCACUCAGCUGCCGGGUUAUGACUGUGUAAGACAUAUGAACCUGCCCCCAUUGGUGACUGCCACAAACUCUGAAGUAUAGGAUUUCCAGGUGCCCCGCAAUGGAGAAUGAGCUUCCUUUCAGCCCCGCCAUGAGGAUACCAUAUAUUCAAAUCUACCUACAACACGCUCAGAUUACUACACCCAGACCCCUAUCCAAUUGGACUACCCUUUCCAUAAAUGUAAUAGGCUCCAUCUUGAAACCUGGAAGCAAAGGAAAUACUAAACACCCUCCAUUCUGGGGACAGUAAGCACAACUCCACACAUCACAUGCUCUGACUGGACAGCCAGAACUCCCCUUUCUGUAUCCCCUCCACAAUUUCAUCCAAACUCCUUUAAACUUUCAUAAUUAAGCCAGUUGUGGACCUCUGCUUCAUUCUCUUGCUGCUGAGUGUGGUCAUCCUCAACAUCCACCUGCUUUAGGCUACAGAGCUCUUCUCAUUAUCUACUGGCAAUCCGUGUUCGUGGGGGAGAGGCUCCUGGGUUGCUAACUUUACAGAGCACGCCAUGCAUAGCUACUCCAAGACCAGCCCAAUCAGUGCU